CAGUAGCCGCGGGAAUACGAAGGGUGCAAGCGUUACUCGGAAUUACUGGGCGUAAAGCGUGCGUAGGUGGUGGUUUAAGUCCGUUGUGAAAGCCCUGGGCUCAACCUGGGAAUUGCAGUGGAUACUGGGUCACUAGAGUGUGGUAGAGGAUAGUGGAAUUUCCGGUGUAGCAGUGAAAUGCGUAGAGAUCGGAAGGAACAUCUGUGGCGAAGGCGACUAUCUGGGCCAACACUGACACUGAGGCACGAAAGCGUGGGGAGCAAACAGGAUUAGAGACCCCCGUAGUCCCUGUCUCUUAUAA
This 301-nucleotide ribosomal RNA is filed under the name uncultured bacterium. RNAcentral describes it as "partial 16S ribosomal RNA". It matches the Rfam family "Bacterial small subunit ribosomal RNA", at positions 509 to 809 of the family's 1533-position model. The record is from RNAcentral.